Molecule: ribosomal RNA, 248 nt
Filed under: uncultured Glomus
Lineage: Eukaryota; Fungi; Glomeromycota; Glomeromycetes; Glomerales; Glomeraceae
Description: partial 23S ribosomal RNA
Rfam family: Eukaryotic large subunit ribosomal RNA
Source: RNAcentral
GGCGAGAGACCGAUAGCGAACAAGUACCGUGAGGGAAAGAUGAAAAGCACUUUGAAAAGAGAGUUAAACAGCGCGUGAAAUUGUUGAAAGGGAAACGAUUGAAGUCAGUCGUACCGACGAGUAAUCAGCCUUUCGGGUGUGAUUUUGCCGGACACGGAGAGCUUUACCGCAUUCGUGCUUGUAAAUUUGUGCCCUUUGGGUGUACUUUCUCGUAUGGUUAGUUAACAUCAAUUUUGGUCGUUAUAAAA